RNAcentral lists this ribosomal RNA (497 nucleotides) under Fusarium oxysporum. RNAcentral describes it as "eukaryotic LSU rRNA". The stretch from base 131 to 284 matches the Rfam family "5.8S ribosomal RNA". The record is from RNAcentral. Lineage: Eukaryota; Fungi; Ascomycota; Sordariomycetes; Hypocreales; Nectriaceae.
AACCCCUGUGAACAUACCACUUGUUGCCUCGGCGGAUCAGCCCGCUCCCGGUAAAACGGGACGGCCCGCCAGAGGACCCCUAAACUCUGUUUCUAUAUGUAACUUCUGAGUAAAACCAUAAAUAAAUCAAAACUUUCAACAACGGAUCUCUUGGUUCUGGCAUCGAUGAAGAACGCAGCAAAAUGCGAUAAGUAAUGUGAAUUGCAGAAUUCAGUGAAUCAUCGAAUCUUUGAACGCACAUUGCGCCCGCCAGUAUUCUGGCGGGCAUGCCUGUUCGAGCGUCAUUUCAACCCUCAAGCACAGCUUGGUGUUGGGACUCGCGUUAAUUCGCGUUCCUCAAAUUGAUUGGCGGUCACGUCGAGCUUCCAUAGCGUAGUAGUAAAACCCUCGUUACUGGUAAUCGUCGCGGCCACGCCGUUAAACCCCAACUUCUGAAUGUUGACCUCGGAUCAGGUAGGAAUACCCGCUGAACUUAAGCAUAUCAAUAAGCGGAGGAA